Molecule: ribosomal RNA, 576 nt
Filed under: Lodderomyces parapsilosis
Lineage: Eukaryota; Fungi; Ascomycota; Pichiomycetes; Serinales; Debaryomycetaceae
Description: Candida parapsilosis partial large subunit ribosomal RNA
Rfam family: Eukaryotic large subunit ribosomal RNA
Source: RNAcentral
AAAGAAACCAACAGGGAUUGCCUUAGUAGCGGCGAGUGAAGCGGCAAAAGCUCAAAUUUGAAAUCUGGCACUUUCAGUGUCCGAGUUGUAAUUUGAAGAAGGUAUCUUUGGGUCUGGCUCUUGUCUAUGUUUCUUGGAACAGAACGUCACAGAGGGUGAGAAUCCCGUGCGAUGAGAUGUCCCAGACCUAUGUAAAGUUCCUUCGAAGAGUCGAGUUGUUUGGGAAUGCAGCUCUAAGUGGGUGGUAAAUUCCAUCUAAAGCUAAAUAUUGGCGAGAGACCGAUAGCGAACAAGUACAGUGAUGGAAAGAUGAAAAGAACUUUGAAAAGAGAGUGAAAAAGUACGUGAAAUUGUUGAAAGGGAAGGGCUUGAGAUCAGACUUGGUAUUUUGUAUGUUACUCUCUCGGGGGUGGCCUCUACAGUUUACCGGGCCAGCAUCAGUUUGAGCGGUAGGAUAAGUGCAAAGAAAUGUGGCACUGCUUCGGUAGUGUGUUAUAGUCUUUGUCGAUACUGCCAGCUUAGACUGAGGACUGCGGCUUCGGCCUAGGAUGUUGGCAUAAUUAUCUUAAGUCGCCC